UACGUAGGGUGCGAGCGUUGUCCGGAAUUAUUGGGCGUAAAGAGCUUGUAGGUGGCUUCGUAAGUCCGUUGUGAAAGUCAAAGGCUCAACCUUUGAAAGCCGAUGGAUACUGUGAAGCUAGAGUACGGAAGAGGCGAGUGGAAUUCCUGGUGUAGCGGUGGAAUGCGCAGAUAUCAGGAGGAACACCAAUAGCGAAGGCAGCUCGCUGGGACGUUACUGACACUGAGGCGCGAAAGCGUGGGGAGCGAACAGG
Molecule: ribosomal RNA, 253 nt
Filed under: uncultured bacterium
Lineage: Bacteria
Description: partial 16S ribosomal RNA
Rfam family: Bacterial small subunit ribosomal RNA
Source: RNAcentral